UCUGAUCCAUGAUGACUUCCUAACACUUGUGGACUGUUGGAUGAAGCUUGCGGAUAUGGGACUGAGAUCAGAC
This 73-nucleotide small nucleolar RNA is filed under the name Oryzias javanicus (javanese ricefish). RNAcentral's name for it is "Small nucleolar RNA SNORD99 (ENSOJAG00000016455.1)". It matches the Rfam family "Small nucleolar RNA SNORD99". From Rfam's summary of the family: The members of this family belong to the C/D class of snoRNAs which contain the C (UGAUGA) and D (CUGA) box motifs. Most of the members of the box C/D family function in directing site-specific 2'-O-methylation of substrate RNAs. Lineage: Eukaryota; Metazoa; Chordata; Actinopteri; Beloniformes; Adrianichthyidae. The record is from Rfam by way of RNAcentral.